Molecule: ribosomal RNA, 416 nt
Filed under: bacterium enrichment culture clone ALO1_GLFRUDD03HFDSF
Lineage: Bacteria
Description: bacterial SSU rRNA
Rfam family: Bacterial small subunit ribosomal RNA
Source: RNAcentral
GAGUUUGAUCGUGGCUCAGAUUGAACGCUGGCGGCAUGCCUUACACAUGCAAGUCGAACGGCAGCACGGGAGCUUGCUCCUGGUGGGCGAGUGGCGAACGGGUGAGUAAUGCAUCGGAACGUAUCCUGGAGUGGGGGAUAACGUAGCGAAAGUUACGCUAAUACCGCAUAUUCUGUGAGCAGGAAAGCGGGGGACCUUCGGGCCUCGCGCUCUUGGAGCGGCCGAUGUCGGAUUAGCUAGUUGGUGAGGUAAAGGCUCACCAAGGCGACGAUCCGUAGCAGGUCUGAGAGGAUGAUCUGCCACACUGGAACUGAGACACGGUCCAGACUCCUACGGGAGGCAGCAGUGGGGAAUUUUGGGACAAUGGGGGCAACCCUGAUCCAGCCAUGCCGCGUGAGUGAAGAAGGCCUCGGUUG